Molecule: ribosomal RNA, 253 nt
Filed under: uncultured bacterium
Lineage: Bacteria
Description: partial 16S ribosomal RNA
Rfam family: Bacterial small subunit ribosomal RNA
Source: RNAcentral
UACGUAUGGUGCAAGCGUUAUCCGGAUUUACUGGGCGUAAAGGGAGCGCAGGCGGCGCGCCAAGUCUGAUGUGAAACCCCGGGGCUCAACCCCGGGCAUGCAUUGGAAACUGGCGGGCUGGAGUGCCGGAGAGGUAAGCGGAAUUCCUAGUGUAGCGGUGAAAUGCGUAGAUAUUAGGAGGAACACCAGUGGCGAAGGCGGAUGACUGGACGGCAACUGACGGUGAGGCGCGAAAGCGUGGGGAGCAAACAGG